This 360-nucleotide long non-coding RNA is filed under the name Vigna radiata. RNAcentral's name for it is "long non-coding RNA (VRAD_LNC002202)". Lineage: Eukaryota; Viridiplantae; Streptophyta; Magnoliopsida; Fabales; Fabaceae. The record is from RNAcentral.
GAUGACAAGACCCUACAAACAAACCACUUGGCCAAUUUUUAGCAACCAGUCGAAAAGGAACUUUUUCAACUCUUGUCGAGCCCUUCACAAGUGGUCAGUGAACGUUUUUCAACUCCUGACUAACCUUCAAUAGGUGAGGAACGUUUUUCAACUCUUGUUGAGCCCUUCACAGGUGGUUGUUGAGACUUUGGCAAGUGUACCAAAUCGUUCAAGUAAUAAAACCAGUAAGACCGAAUAUCGUUUCCCAAUAGACUCGUUUCACUAGACAAUAGUAUAAUUUCCAACUAACUUAGACUAAAGAAUGCUUCCAUAAUUUGGGUUUUUGUGCAAUAAAAGUAAACAUGAAACAUAAAUAGUAAA